Molecule: ribosomal RNA, 328 nt
Filed under: uncultured Actinomycetes bacterium
Lineage: Bacteria; Bacillati; Actinomycetota; Actinomycetes
Description: bacterial SSU rRNA
Rfam family: Bacterial small subunit ribosomal RNA
Source: RNAcentral
GAUGAACGCUGGCGGCGUGCUUAACACAUGCAAGUCGAACGAGGUCCAUGGAGCUUGCUCCGGACGACCUAGUGGCGAACGGGUGCGUAACACGUGAGAAACCUGCCCCGAUCUCUGGGAUAACAGUUGGAAACGACUGCUAAUACCGGAUGCCGUCACACCGCUACAUGGCGGAGUGCCGAAAGAUUCAUCGGAUCGGGAGGUCUCGCGGCCUAUCAGCUAGUUGGAGAGGUAACGGCUCACCAAGGCAUCGACGGGUAGCUGGUCUGAGAGGAUGAUCAGCCACACUGGGACUGGAGACACGGCCCAGACCACCUACGGGUGGCUG